CCUACGGGAGGCAGCAGUGGGGAAUAUUGGACAAUGGGCGCAAGCCUGAUCCAGCCAUGCCGCGUGGAUGAUGAAGGCCCUAGGGUUGUAAAGUCCUUUUAACGGGGAAGAUAAUGACGGUACCCGUAGAAUAAGCCCCGGCUAACUUCGUGCCAGCAGCCGCGGUAAUACGAAGGGGGCUAGCGUUGCUCGGAAUUACUGGGCGUAAAGCGCACGUAGGCGGGUUCUUAAGUCGGUGGUGAAAUCCUGGAGCUCAACUCCAGAACUGCCUUCGAAACUGGGAAUCUUGAGUCCGGGAGAGGUGAGUGGAACUGCGAGUGUAGAGGUGAAAUUCGUAGAUAUUCGCAAGAACACCAGUGGCGAAGGCGGCUCACUGGCCCGGUACUGACGCUGAGGUGCGAAAGCGUGGGGAGCAAACAGGAUUAGAUACCCCGGUAGUCCACGCCGUAAACGAUGAAUGNUAGUCGUUGGUCGAGCUGUCUCGUCAGUGGCGCAGACUAACGUACGUUAACGUCACUUCCGUCCGUCGGGGUAGGUACGGUCGCGAGAAUUAAACUACAAUAGAUUGUCGGCGUGAGACGUGCCGACGGCGACCGACGAGGGGAAGGUAGG
RNAcentral lists this ribosomal RNA (612 nucleotides) under uncultured bacterium. Its description in RNAcentral is "bacterial SSU rRNA". The stretch from base 1 to 524 matches the Rfam family "Bacterial small subunit ribosomal RNA", at positions 338 to 873 of the family's 1533-position model. The record is from RNAcentral.